UACGUAGGAGGCGAGCGUUGUCCGGAUUUACUGGGCGUAAAGCGCGCGCAGGCGGCACACUAAGUACGAUGUGAAAUCUCCCUGCUCAACGGGGAGGGUGCAUAGUAAACUGGUGAGCUAGAGGACGGUAGAGGGGGGUGGAAUUGCUGGUGUAGCGGUGAAAUGCGCAGAUAUCAGGAAGAACACCAAUGGCGAAGGCAGCUCUCUGGGACGGUACUGACGCUGAGACGCGAAAGCGUGGGGAGCGAACAGG
This 253-nucleotide ribosomal RNA is filed under the name uncultured bacterium. RNAcentral describes it as "partial 16S ribosomal RNA". It matches the Rfam family "Bacterial small subunit ribosomal RNA", at positions 524 to 776 of the family's 1533-position model. The record is from RNAcentral.